Molecule: ribosomal RNA, 418 nt
Filed under: uncultured archaeon
Lineage: Archaea
Description: partial 16S ribosomal RNA
Rfam family: Archaeal small subunit ribosomal RNA
Source: RNAcentral
CUACGGGACGCUGCAGACGCGAAACCUCUACAAUGCGCGAAAGCGUGAUAGGGGGAUUCCCAGUGCCAGCACUGCUGGCUUUUGCCAAGUUUAGAUUGCUUGGCGAAUAAGUGGGGGGCAAGAUACGUGCCAGCCGCCGCGGUAACACGUACUCCACUAGUGGUGUCCACUAAUAUUGGGCUUAAAACGCCCGUAGCCAGCUCUGAAAGUCCUCUGUGAAAUCGGCUAGCUUAACUAGCCGGCGUGCAAGGGAAACUUCAGGGAUCGAGGCCGGGAGAGGUUAGGGGAAUUCCAGGAGUAACGGUGAAAUGUUAAGAUCCCUGGAGGACCACCGGUAGCGAAGGCGCCUAACCAGAACGGACCUGACGGUGAGGGACGAAAGCCAGGGGAGCGACCCGGAUUAGAUACCCUGGUAGUC